GGCCCUCUGGCGCAAUGGUAGCGCUUUCGACUCCAGUUCAUCACAUUGGUGGCAUCGGAAGGUUAUCCGUUCAAAUCGGGUGGGGGUCA
Molecule: transfer RNA, 89 nt
Filed under: Colletotrichum caudatum
Lineage: Eukaryota; Fungi; Ascomycota; Sordariomycetes; Glomerellales; Glomerellaceae
Description: tRNA-Trp
Rfam family: tRNA
About the family: Transfer RNA (tRNA) molecules are approximately 80 nucleotides in length. Their secondary structure includes four short double-helical elements and three loops (D, anti-codon, and T loops).
Source: RNAcentral